AUACUUACCUGGCAGGGGAGAUACUAUGAUCACGAAGGUGGUUUUCCCAGGGCAAGGCUUAUCCAUUGCACUCUGGAUGUGUUGACCCCUGUGCUCUCCCCAAAUAAAAAAAAGAUCAAAGAAAAUAAAAACAAAAGGCCAUCCUGCUGUGCAGAU
This is a small nuclear RNA of Saimiri boliviensis boliviensis (Bolivian squirrel monkey), 156 nucleotides long. Its record names the gene U1. It matches the Rfam family "U1 spliceosomal RNA". Rfam says of the family: U1 is a small nuclear RNA (snRNA) component of the spliceosome (involved in pre-mRNA splicing). Its 5' end forms complementary base pairs with the 5' splice junction, thus defining the 5' donor site of an intron. NCBI's taxonomy places the organism in Eukaryota, Metazoa, Chordata, Mammalia, Primates, Cebidae. The record is from Ensembl.